UCCUUUAAGCUCCAAAAUGCUCCAAAGUCAUAGCUUUACUCCGAAAUGCACCUGAACCUGAAAACAUACCUAGAAGAGUAGAAAACAUAGAUAUAUAUAUAUAGUAAAACACUUAUAUACCAUGGAUGAAAACGGGUCAAAUCCAAGGUAUAUCAGUGGCAGCAGAUGGAUCAAGGAUUGCAGUCCCUUAUCCAUCUAUCCUCUGACAUGUUGCAUUACACAUAUGACCUCGAGGGUCAUGCAUGUCUCUAUUCUCAUCCCUCUGUAGCACAAGUGUCGCGACCAUGUCUGCUCGCGGAUUGGUAUCGAUCGAUGUUCGAGUUGAGCUGUCGAUCGUUGCUCUAUCACAAGUGUCAAUCGACGUAGUAGAGGUAGUGUCGAUCGACAUAGUAGAGGUGGUGUCGAUCGAUGAUCUUCGGUUCUCUUUGCAGAUGGAGCGUUCCAAAAGUGCUGGGUAUGAGAAGAUAAGUAAUUCCUCCUUGAUGCUUCUCGUACUGAUAGGCAUGUACCUGAAAGACAAGAAAAAAAAUUAUGUAAGUAACUAUGACAGUAAAUAAAACCUAGACUAAACCUAUUAAUCAAGUCUAUUGGCGAUCAAAGCUCCUCGGCAAUGGAGCCAAAUUUUAUAUCACUCAAAUUACCCUAAGGAGUGAUUUUACUCUCUCAAAUAAGAGGUUCAAUUGUAGUACUUUGGGAUCAAAUCCACAGAGAACUAGGGCACACAAUAGACUAUAGAAAUCAAGAUUAAGCUAGGCAAACCGUUUAUAAAGUAGUAAAUCAAUGAAAGCAAGGUGAACAAAGUAGUUGUUUGAUUGGUUGAUUGAGGUUGUAAACAAUUAGGAGAAAUAGCUAGACCUAGGGAUUUAUCAAUUAAGAGAUUCAAUACUUCAAUUCCAGGAUGCUAAUGGUUUAUAGAUUAAUUCUAGAACUCGUACUACAAAAAAAGUCUACAUUGAUAGCAGAUUAUUAUAGCACAUUUUACUGAAUUGUUAUCGUAGAUGAUUUAGAAAUUUUCGUAUUAUAUAAUAGUAUUAGAUAAAUGCUAUGAUAGAGUAAAUGCUAUGAUAUCAAUAAGCGGGAACUAAUUUCGCCAAUAUUUAGAUAAAAAAUAGGCAAACGCCAAAUAAAUAAUUUUUCCCUCUCGUGAUAACACAUAACACUUGUGGAUACUUACUUAGAAAAAAAUAUUGUCCUAUAGACUUAAAAAAAAAAGUCCCACAAAUACUUUAUCUCUUUCUCUUCUUCUCCUCCGCCACAUAACAACAAAAUUGACAGAGGAGGAUGACCGGAAGUUGUGAACGGCUCAGUUGGGUCGGAUCGAGGAAGAAACCGACGACUCUCCACCAUCUGCGAGAGGCAAACCAUCGGCGGAGCUUCUCUUCCUCGGUGGCGGAGAUGGAGAAGACAGAGGAAGAGGAAGACAACGGUGAAGAUAUAGGAGCGACGGUGGUUUGUUCGUGCGAGACGCUUGCGAAUCAUCUCACAAACUGUGGUUUUCUGUCUACUCCUCGAGAGUAGGGAUUCGAGCAGCUGAUUCAGGGGAUGAUGUAACCGUGUAAAGUUGCGUCCUUUAUCUUUUUUUUGUAUUCUUACAUUUGUUUCAGGGGUUGAUGUAAUAGUAUAAAGUUGGGUUCCUUAUGAUUUAUGGUAUUGGUGUAUUUGUUUCAGGAGAUCGUGUAAUCAAGGCGUUUUAUGAUUCAAGGUGGGCAUAAUUCGGCGAAUGAUGGGACUGGUGGUGGUGAAUCUAUCUAUGGCUGGGACAAGAGAAAGCUUUCCUGUUCUUGAUGAUACAGAGAAUACAGCUACGGCUGCGGCGGAAGUGGACAGGCUUGACCAGCCCAGUCGAAUUAAGGAAAUAGCUUUCAAGAAACAGACUGAGCUAGAGGAUAUAUACGUUCGCACACGUGGAAAUAAACCCUUAAUCAGCUCGUGUCGAUGGUUCCUAUAGUCGAUUUUGUCUCUGAAGAAAUCUGAUUCCUGGCUUUAUUAUUUAUCAAAUUUAUGUAUCAAGCUACAGUUGUAAUCAUAUCAAAUAUAUAUAUAUAUAUAUGUUGGUAUCGGUCAAUUGAAUUUUAAUUUUAUUACCAAACUAGAGUUGUUGUUGUUGUGUUGCUCCAUUGGUAAAACUACAAUGCAAAAAUGCCAUUUUUUUUAAUGAAAAUGACAUGUAUCUAUUAUGUUUAAUUUUUAUAGAUACAUAAAAAGAGUUUAAAUUUAGGAUUUAGGGUUUAGGUAUAAGUUUAGGGUUUUUUUUUUUUGUGCAACUGUAUAAGUUUAGGGUAUAAGUUUAGGGUUUAAAACUCUAAUUUUUCACACUAUAACCUCAAAAUCUUAACCUCAAACCCUAUUCCCCAAACUCCAAAUAUACUUCAAAACUAAAAACUUAAGAUCUAAACUUUAAACUUUAUAUCAUAAACACUAAACUUUGAGUUUGAAAUGGGGAUAGAACACAUAAUUUUGUUUUUUAGCUGAUCAUAAAGUUUAAUUCUUACUUUCAUACCACUUAUAAAAUUUAAAAUCUAGUCAUUUUGAUCUUAAGUUCAGAAUUUAUUUUUGAAAACUUGACUAUGAACUUUGGUAUUAAACCCCAAACCCUACUAAUACUUUGUGUAUCAAAACAUAAAAAGAGAAUAGGAAGAUAAUUACACUUAAAACUAUAAAAUAUAACUUUUAAACUUAAAACUAAUUGUAAUUACUAAAUUUAUGCAGAAAUAUAACAGCCAGCUUUAAUAAACAUAUCAAUUUAAAAUUAUUAAAAGAAAACAUUGUAAAACACAGAGAAAAGUAAAACAAAAACAAAAAACUAUCAUUGGCUAAUCUUUAUACACAAGGGAUUGCUAUUCUCAUUUUCGUCCUUUAGAUUGGAUUCAAUCCGAUGGACCAGAUGUUUUCUUCUUAUUUUAUUUGUUUUGUUUCUCAUUGGUUGAUAUAAUUUGGCGAGGAUAACCAACUUUUAGUCUCCACCAUUGAUCAAAUUUAUCCAACGGUCUCUCUUUCUUCUCGUCACAAGUCCUCUCCCUCUCAAUCUAUCACAAUCUUAGUCUGAACCUUUCCGCUUCUCUCUCAAUCUCACCAUUUCUAACCUUAAUCUCUACCAUUGGGUCUGACAGAGAUGUGUCAGAGAAGACAUGGGAAGAGGCUCGUGGAGGAUGAAUCUGGUUUUAAGCUCGGCGUUGUCACCAGUCUCGAAUCCGUCGCACCACCACCACGGUCACCUCUCUCUCACUCUGUCUCUCUUUUUCUCUCUGUUUUGAAUCUGUUUUUUGCUCUUGGGCAGAGCUGGUGGUCGUUGGCAAAGGAGACGUCUCGUCCAUUGAGGCGAGGAUGAAGAAGAUCGUUUGACCUCCUCACCACCACCAUAGAUCUAAGAAGGAGCAGGGAAGGAGAAGCAGUGGUGUGAAGAAGCUUUGCUGUGGUGGUCUUGGCUGGUGCUCUCUGCGUCAAAGAUGAAGAAAUCGAAGGAGCUGAAGUUGACGGCGAAGGAGCUGAAGUUGACGGCGAAGAUUUUAGAUUUAGGGUUUAUUUGUUUUAGAUAAAGCUUUUUCGGUUUAGAUUUAGAAACUGGAUUUUGUAAACCAGAAUAAUUUUAAUAAAUAAAAUUUAAUUUUAAUUAUAAAUUAA
This is a long non-coding RNA of Brassica rapa (field mustard), 3621 nucleotides long. RefSeq lists it as uncharacterized. Lineage: Eukaryota; Viridiplantae; Streptophyta; Magnoliopsida; Brassicales; Brassicaceae. The record is from RefSeq and is a predicted model, not a curated record.